UACUAAGGGCAUCUUUUAUUGGGCUGACCUAACAGCCUUAAGUGAAGCGGUUCAUCAUAGAACUAAUUGCUGAUAACAAUUAGGUUGCUUUAUAUUGUUUGAAGGGGACUUCAACAGUUACCUAGAUUCUAUAGUUAAGGCUUCCGCAAGAAAUCUUAUGUGCGCUGUCUAUUUAACUGUCAAUAUAAUGUAAAUGCAGUGAGCUUUUGGUAAACAAAUAGGGUAAAUUACUUCCGUAUUAUCAGUGCGGAAGUUUUUU
This 259-nucleotide non-coding RNA is filed under the name unclassified sequences. The record is from Rfam.